CAAAUAAAAACAUCUUAAUUUUUAGCCUCCAACAUUAAUAUGGGAGCUAAAGUAAUGGCUUUUCUUGAAAUUUUUCUUCUCAUAGUUCUCACAAUGUCACCACAAGCUAUUGUAGCUAGGGAACUUCCCAACGUCUAUAGCGAGACGAUGGAGAAGCCACAAAUCAACCAUCCAGGCUCUUCCUAUAUUGAAGACCCUAUUUGGCCCCGGCCCUCGUGCCGUGGUCACCGUUGCCGCAGCCCUCCGCACGGGCCCACUCCUUGAGCAUUCGAACAAGGGAAUUAAUUUAGCUAUGUUUGAGUCAUAGUCUAUUAAAUAAUUAUUCAAAUAUUUUAUCCACACUUUGGUGUUGAUGAUCGCGCGUAUCAAUAUAUUAUGUCAUUGAACUUUACUUUGUAA
Molecule: long non-coding RNA, 399 nt
Organism: Salvia hispanica
Lineage: Eukaryota; Viridiplantae; Streptophyta; Magnoliopsida; Lamiales; Lamiaceae
Source: RefSeq, a predicted model, not a curated record